This 785-nucleotide ribosomal RNA is filed under the name uncultured Bacillota bacterium. Its description in RNAcentral is "bacterial SSU rRNA". It matches the Rfam family "Bacterial small subunit ribosomal RNA", at positions 71 to 835 of the family's 1533-position model. The record is from RNAcentral. Lineage: Bacteria; Bacillati; Bacillota.
AAAGCCCCGCAAGGGGUAAGUAGAGUGGCAAACGGGUGAGUAACACGUGGGUGAUCUGCCUCGAAGUGGGGGAUAACGACCCGAAAGGGUCGCUAAUACCGCAUGACAUCCUGCCUUUGGAUAGGUGGAGAUCAAAGCCGGGGAUCGCAAGACCUGGCGCUUGGAGAGGAGCCCGCGGCCGAUUAGCUAGUUGGUGAGGUAACGGCUCACCAAGGCGACGAUCGGUAUCCGGCCUGAGAGGGCGGACGGACACACUGGGACUGAGACACGGCCCAGACUCCUACGGGAGGCAGCAGUGGGGAAUUGUUCGCAAUGGGCGCAAGCCUGACGACGCAACGCCGCGUGGAGGACGAAGAUCUUCGGGUCGUAAACUCCUUUCGAUCGGGAAGAACGCCUUCGGGGUGAACAGCCCUGAAGGGUGACGGUACCGAGAGAAGAAGCCCCGGCUAACUCUGUGCCAGCAGCCGCGGUAAUACAGGGGGGGCAAGCGUUGUUCGGAAUUACUGGGCGUAAAGGGCUCGUAGGCGGCCAACUAAGUCACACGUGAAAUCCCCAGGCUUAACCUGGGAACUGCGUGUGAUACUGGAUGGCUUGAAUUCGGGAGAGGGAUGCAGAAUUCCAGGUGUAGCGGUGAAAUGCGUAGAUAUCUGGAGGAAUACCGGUGGCGAAGGCGGCAUCCUGGACCGACAUUGACGCUGAGGAGCGAAAGCUAGGGGAGCAAACGGGAUUAGAUACCCCGGUAGUCCUAGCCCUAAACGAUGAAUGCUUGGUGUGGCGGGUAUCGA